AUAGCUGCAGWAUUCUGACYGUGCUAAGGUAGCAUAGUMGUUUGUCUCUUUAUUGGAGGCUGGAAUAAAUGGGUUNACGACACCMAGGCUGUUUUUACCCUACGGCGGCCGUAAAUCGGCUAAUAUAUUAAGUUGAUUUUUGCAUUAAAAAGUGCAACUUUUUAGGAAGACGAUAAGACCCCGUAAAACUUUAUUUCUGGGAAUGUUUUUUAUUUGGAUUUGUAACGGACUUUUUCUGGGAAUUAAGCUGGGGCAGCAUCUAAUAGACUUUAAGAAGAAAAAACAUGUUUCAGUGAAACGGGAGAUCUUUUUUAGAGUUAGAAUAAGUUACUUUGGGGAUAACAGCGUAAUUUUUUCUUAUAGUUCUUAUAGAAGAAAAAGACUUGCGACCUCGAUGUUGAAUUGGKWKKUCGGGUWUAAGCAGAAAUAAGCCAGGAAAGUCUGUUCGACUUUUAAACUCCCA
Molecule: ribosomal RNA, 463 nt
Filed under: Mirabilicoxa sp.
Lineage: Eukaryota; Metazoa; Arthropoda; Malacostraca; Isopoda; Desmosomatidae
Description: partial 16S ribosomal RNA
Source: RNAcentral